GCGAACGCUGGCGGCAGGCCUAACACAUGCAAGUCGAACGAACUCUUCGGAGUUAGUGGCGGACGGGUGAGUGACACGUGGGAACGUGCCUUUUGGUUCGGAAUAACUCAGGGAAACUUGUGCUAAUACCGAAUGUGCCCUUCGGGGGAAAGAUUUAUCGCCAUUAGAGCGGCCCGCGUCUGAUUAGCUAGUUGGUGAGGUAACGGCUCACCAAGGCGACGAUCAGUAGCUGGUCUGAGAGGAUGACCAGCCACACUGGGACUGAGACACGGCCCAGACUCCUACGGGAGGCAGCAGUGGGGAAUCUUGCGCAAUGGGCGAAAGCCUGACGCAGCCAUGCCGCGUGAAUGAUGAAGGUCUUAGGAUUGUAAAAUUCUUUCACCGGGGACGAUAAUGACGGUACCCGGAGAAGAAGCCCCGGCUAACUUCGUG
RNAcentral lists this ribosomal RNA (432 nucleotides) under uncultured bacterium. RNAcentral describes it as "partial 16S ribosomal RNA". It matches the Rfam family "Bacterial small subunit ribosomal RNA", at positions 29 to 507 of the family's 1533-position model. The record is from RNAcentral.